Molecule: ribosomal RNA, 1260 nt
Rfam family: Bacterial small subunit ribosomal RNA
UGCUGGGUGGAUUAGUGGCGAACGGGUGAGUAACACGUGAGUAACCUGCCCUUAACUCUGGGAUAAGCCUGGGAAACUGGGUCUAAUACCGGAUAGGAGCGCCUACCGCAUGGUGGGUGUUGGAAAGAUUUAUCGGUUUUGGAUGGACUCGCGGCCUAUCAGCUUGUUGGUGAGGUAAUGGCUCACCAAGGCGACGACGGGUAGCCGGCCUGAGAGGGUGACCGGCCACACUGGGACUGAGACACGGCCCAGACUCCUACGGGAGGCAGCAGUGGGGAAUAUUGCACAAUGGGCGCAAGCCUGAUGCAGCGACGCCGCGUGAGGGAUGACGGCCUUCGGGUUGUAAACCUCUUUCAGUAGGGAAGAAGCGAAAGUGACGGUACCUGCAGAAGAAGCACCGGCUAACUACGUGCCAGCAGCCGCGGUAAUACGUAGGGUGCGAGCGUUAUCCGGAAUUAUUGGGCGUAAAGAGCUCGUAGGCGGUUUGUCGCGUCUGUCGUGAAAGUCCGGGGCUUAACCCCGGAUCUGCGGUGGGUACGGGCAGACUAGAGUGCAGUAGGGGAGACUGGAAUUCCUGGUGUAGCGGUGGAAUGCGCAGAUAUCAGGAGGAACACCGAUGGCGAAGGCAGGUCUCUGGGCUGUAACUGACGCUGAGGAGCGAAAGCAUGGGGAGCGAACAGGAUUAGAUACCCUGGUAGUCCAUGCCGUAAACGUUGGGCACUAGGUGUGGGGACCAUUCCACGGUUUCCGCGCCGCAGCUAACGCAUUAAGUGCCCCGCCUGGGGAGUACGGCCGCAAGGCUAAAACUCAAAGGAAUUGACGGGGGGCCCGCACAAGCGGCGGAGCAUGCGGAUUAAUUCGAUGCAACGCGAAGAACCUUACCAAGGCUUGACAUGUUCUCGAUCGCCGUAGAGAUACGGUUUCCCCUUUGGGGCGGGUUCACAGGUGGUGCAUGGUUGUCGUCAGCUCGUGUCGUGAGAUGUUGGGUUAAGUCCCGCAACGAGCGCAACCCUCGUUCCAUGUUGCCAGCACGUAAUGGUGGGGACUCAUGGGAGACUGCCGGGGUCAACUCGGAGGAAGGUGAGGACGACGUCAAAUCAUCAUGCCCCUUAUGUCUUGGGCUUCACGCAUGCUACAAUGGCCGGUACAAUGGGUUGCGAUACUGUGAGGUGGAGCUAAUCCCAAAAAGCCGGUCUCAGUUCGGAUUGGGGUCUGCAACUCGACCCCAUGAAGUCGGAGUCGCUAGUAAUCGCAGAUCAG